UUUUUUAUUUGAAAUAAUGUCCGGGAUCAUCCACAAGAUUGAGGAGACCCUCCAUGUGGGAGGGCACAAGAAAGAGGAGCACAAAGGAGAACACCAUGGUGAGCACAAAGGUGAACACAAAGGAGAACACCAUGGUGAGCACAAAGGUGAACACAAAGGAGAACAACACCAUGGGGAGCACAAGGAGGGACUUGUGGAUAAGAUCAAGGACAAGAUCCAUGGUGAUGGCCAUGACAAGGGUG
This 242-nucleotide long non-coding RNA is filed under the name Glycine max (soybean). Its description in RNAcentral is "long non-coding RNA (GMAX_LNC003940)". The record is from RNAcentral. Lineage: Eukaryota; Viridiplantae; Streptophyta; Magnoliopsida; Fabales; Fabaceae.